RNAcentral lists this ribosomal RNA (485 nucleotides) under uncultured Pseudomonas sp. RNAcentral describes it as "bacterial SSU rRNA". It matches the Rfam family "Bacterial small subunit ribosomal RNA", at positions 30 to 508 of the family's 1533-position model. The record is from RNAcentral. Lineage: Bacteria; Pseudomonadati; Pseudomonadota; Gammaproteobacteria; Pseudomonadales; Pseudomonadaceae.
AUUGAACGCUGGCGGCAGGCCUAACACAUGCAAGUCGAGCGGUAGAGAGAAGCUUGCUUCUCUUGAGAGCGGCGGACGGGUGAGUAAUGCCUAGGAAUCUGCCUGGUAGUGGGGGAUAACGUUCGGAAACGGACGCUAAUACCGCAUACGUCCUACGGGAGAAAGCAGGGGACCUUCGGGCCUUGCGCUAUCAGAUGAGCCUAGGUCGGAUUAGCUAGUUGGUGGGGUAAUGGCUCACCAAGGCGACGAUCCGUAACUGGUCUGAGAGGAUGAUCAGUCACACUGGAACUGAGACACGGUCCAGACUCCUACGGGAGGCAGCAGUGGGGAAUAUUGGACAAUGGGCGAAAGCCUGAUCCAGCCAUGCCGCGUGUGUGAAGAAGGUCUUCGGAUUGUAAAGCACUUUAAGUUGGGAGGAAGGGCAUUAACCUAAUACGUUGGUGUUUUGACGUUACCGACAGAAUAAGCACCGGCUAACUCUGUGC